Molecule: ribosomal RNA, 254 nt
Filed under: uncultured bacterium
Lineage: Bacteria
Description: partial 16S ribosomal RNA
Rfam family: Bacterial small subunit ribosomal RNA
Source: RNAcentral
GACGAAGGGGGCUAGCGUUGUUCGGAUUUACUGGGCGUAAAGGGCGCGUAGGCGGUCGUGACAAGUCACUUGUGAAAUCUCCGGGCUUAACUCGGAACGGUCAAGUGAUACUGUCGUGCUAGAGUACAGAAGGGGCAACUGGAAUUCUCGGUGUAGCGGUGAAAUGCGUAGAUAUCGAGAGGAACACCUGCGGCGAAGGCGGGUUGCUGGGCUGAUACUGACGCUGAGGCGCGAAAGCCAGGGGAGCGAACGGG